RNAcentral lists this ribosomal RNA (255 nucleotides) under uncultured bacterium. RNAcentral's name for it is "partial 16S ribosomal RNA". It matches the Rfam family "Bacterial small subunit ribosomal RNA", at positions 524 to 777 of the family's 1533-position model. The record is from RNAcentral.
GACGUAGGGCGCGAGCGUUGUCCGGAUUUAUUGGGCGUAAAGAGCUCGUAGGCGGCUUGUCGCGUCGAAUGUGAAAACCCACAGCUCAACUGUGGGCUUGCAUUCGAUACGGGCAGGCUAGAGUUCGGUAGGGGAGACUGGAAUUCCGGGUGUAGCGGUGGAAUGCGUAGAGAUCCGGAAGAACACCGGUGGCGAAGGCAGAUCUCUGGGCCGUAACGUGACGCUGAGGAGCGAAAGCAUGGGGAGCGAACGAGG